This 305-nucleotide ribosomal RNA is filed under the name uncultured bacterium. RNAcentral's name for it is "bacterial SSU rRNA". It matches the Rfam family "Bacterial small subunit ribosomal RNA", at positions 333 to 631 of the family's 1533-position model. The record is from RNAcentral.
UGUGGCCUACGGGGGGCAGCAGUAGGGAAUCUUCCACAAUGGACGAAAGUCUGAUGGAGCAACGCCGCGUGAGUGAAGAAGGGUUUCGGCUCGUAAAGCUCUGUUGGUAGUGAAGAAAGAUAGAGGUAGUAACUGGUCUUUUUUUGACGGUAAUUACUUAGAAAGUCACGGCUAACUACGUGCCAGCAGCCGCGGUAAUACGGAGGUUGCGAGCGUUAUCCGGAUUUAUUGGGCUUAAAGGGUGCGCAGGCGGAUUUUUAAGUCAGCGGUCAAAUCGUUGGGCUCAACCCCAUCCAUGCAUUGAA